Molecule: ribosomal RNA, 2963 nt
Filed under: Berberis thunbergii
Lineage: Eukaryota; Viridiplantae; Streptophyta; Magnoliopsida; Ranunculales; Berberidaceae
Description: eukaryotic LSU rRNA
Rfam family: Eukaryotic large subunit ribosomal RNA
Source: RNAcentral
AACCCAAGGUUAGACGGGACUACCCGCUGAGUUUAGGAUAUCGAUAAGCCGAGAAGAAGAAACUUACAAGGAUUCACCUAGUAACAGUGAGCGAACCGAGAUCAGCCCAACUUGAGAAUCGGGCGGCUUCGCCAUUUGAAUUGUAGUAUGUAGAAGCGUCCUCGGUGACGAACUGGUCCAAUGUCCCUCGGAAAGGGCGCGAGAAAAGGUGAGAGUUCCGCCCUGUUCAGACCUUGUCAUACAAUGAGGUGUUGUCGGUGAAUAGAUUUGUUUGGGAAUGCAGCCUUUAUUUGGUGGUAAGUUCCGUCCAAGACUAAAUACUAGUGAGAGGUCGUUAGCGAACAAGUACCGCGAAAGAAAGAUGAAAAGGACAUUGAAAAGAGAGUCAAAGCGUGCUUCAAAUUAUCAAGAGGAUAGCGGAUGGGGGCUGGAGAUGCCCCUAGGUAUGAUGUGAAAUGAUGUGUGUCGGUCUACCGCUCGACUCUAGACGUGGACCUAUGUAGAUUAUGACAGUGGCCCCAGCUUGAACAAUUUGCGUGCUUGUGGAUACGUCAUCAUCAUGAUUAUUGUGGGUAGUGCACGCCUUCAGCGUGCCUAUGGAAAUUGCGCACUCCCGGGGUCGGCCUGCAGAUUUCCCAUUCGGACCAUCUUAAAACAUGGACCAAGGAGUCUGACAUGUGUGCAAGUUAACGAGUGAGUAAACUCGUAAGGCACAAGGAAGUUGAUUUGUGAGAUCCCCUUGUGGGUUUCCCCAUUGACCGAGCUAUAACCUUUUUAAAAGGGUUCAAGUGUGAGCAUACCUAUCAGGACCCAAAAAUGGUGAACUUUGCCUAAGCGGGGCGAAGCCAAAUGAAACUCAUGUGGAGGCCCGCAGUGAUACUGACGUGCAAAUCGUUCGUCUGACUUGGGUAUAUGGGCAAAAGACUAAUUUAACCAUCUAGUAGGUUGUUCCCUCCAAAGUUUCCCUCAGGAUAGCUGGAUCUUGAGCGGGAGUUUUAUUAGGUAAAGCCAAUGAUUAGAGGCCUCGGUGGUGCAACACUCUCGACCUAUUUUCAAACUUUGAAAAGGUAGGACGGUGUGACCACUGUUUGUAGCGUUACCAUGGAAUCAUGAGCUCCAAAUGGGCCAUUUUUGGUAAGCAGAACUGGUGAUGCGGGAUGAACCGAAAGCCAUAAAGGGUGUAAGUCGAUUAAGAUGGUAGGACGGUGGUCAUGGAAGUCGAAAUUCGCUAAUGAGUGUGUAAUAAUUCACCUGCCAAAUCAACUUGCCCCGAAAAUGGAUGUCGCUUAAGCGCAUGACCCAUCCUCGACCGUUGGGGAAAUUUUCAGGCCCUAAUGAGUAGGAGGGUGCAACAGUAGCUGCAAAACUUUAGGCAUGAGCCCAGGCUGAGCUUUUGUCAAUGCAAAUCUUGGUGGUAGUAGCAAAUAUUCAAAUGAGAACUUUAAAGGCUGAAAUGGGGAAAGAUUACAUGUGAAUGACACUUGCACAUGUUUUAGUCGAACCUAAGAGUCAGGGUAACCCUGUCAAAGAGCGCAAACUUCAAAACGGAAUUGGGAUCAUGAACUGGGACGCUACGGUUAACAACAACAUUAGAAAGUUUGAAGACAUUGGUAGGGGCCUCGAAAAGGGUUAUCUUUUCUGUUUAACAACUUGCCCACCCUAGAAACGGCUCAGUUAGAUGUAGGGUCUAGCGGUUGGAAGAACACUACGCGUCACAUGGUGUCCAGUGUGCCCUUGGCGGCCCUUGAAAAUUCGAAGGACUGAGUGCCUGCGGUUGUACUCAUAACUGCAUCAAGUCUCCAAGGUGAACAACCUUUGGUCGAUGGGAACAAUGUAGGCAAGGGAAGUCAACAAAUUGGAUAUAUAACUUCGUGAAAAGGAUUGGCUCUAAGGACUGGGCUCAGGGUCCCAGUUUCGAACCCUUCAACUUUCGGUGGACUGUUUGAGCUGCCUUUGUGGCGAGAGCGGGUCACUGGGGGAUGGACUGAGAAUGGUCCAUUUGUGAGCUUUCCCCGGGUGGUAAACAUUCGACUCAGAAAUGGUAAAAACAAAGGGAAUCUGACUAUUUAAUUAAAACAAAGCAUUGUGUUUUUUACGGAUGCUAACGCAAUGUGAUUUCUACCCAGUGCUCUAAAUGUCAAAGUGAAGAAAACAACCAAGCAUUGGUAAACGACGGGAGUAACUAUGACUUUUUUAAGGUAGCCAAAUGCCUCAUCAUCUAAAUUGUUACAUGCAUGAAUUGAUUAACGAAAUUUCCACUAUCCUUGUCUACUAUCCGGCGGAACCACAGCCAAGGGAACGGGCUUGGUAGAAUCAACUGGAAAAGAAGACCUGUUGAGUUUGACUCUAUACUGAUUUUGUGCAAUGACUUGAAAGGUGUAGGGUAAGUGGGAGGUGUUUGUGUAGAAAGUGAAAUACCACUACUUUUAACAUUUUUUUGCUUAUUCCAUUAGUCGAAAGCGGGGCACUGGCCCACUUUUUUUUAUCCAAGGGUUAUCUCUACGGCUUGUUUCGUGUAAAAGACAUGUCAGGUACGGAGUUUGGCUAAGGAGGCACAUCUGUUAAAAGAUAAGGCAAGUGUCUUAAGAUGAACUCAACGAUAACAUAAACCUUGUGUGGAACAAAAGGGUAAAAGCUCGUUUGAUUCAGAUUUCCAGUACAAAUAUGAAUCGUUAAAGCAUGGCCUAUCGAUCCCUUAGACCUUCGAAAUUUGAAGCUAGAGGUGUCAGAAAAGUUACCACAGGGAUAACUAACUUGUGGCAGCCAAGAGUUCAUACCGACGUUGUUUUUUUAUCCUUUGAUGUCGGCUCUUCCUAUCAUUCUGAAGCAGAAUUCACUAGUUGUUGGAUUGUUCACCUACCAAUAGGGAACGUAGGCUAGACCGUUAUGAGACAAGUUAAUUUUACCCUACUGAUGAUAUUGUCGCAAUAGUAAUUCAACCUACACUACACCAAAAACCCCCA